Molecule: small RNA, 29 nt
Filed under: Arabidopsis thaliana (thale cress)
Lineage: Eukaryota; Viridiplantae; Streptophyta; Magnoliopsida; Brassicales; Brassicaceae
Description: ATSL103310
Source: RNAcentral
GAACAAAAAGAAGAAAAACAAAACAAAAA